RNAcentral lists this transfer RNA (75 nucleotides) under Rhodobacterales bacterium CG_4_10_14_0_8_um_filter_70_9. RNAcentral describes it as "tRNA-Thr". It matches the Rfam family "tRNA". Rfam says of the family: Transfer RNA (tRNA) molecules are approximately 80 nucleotides in length. Lineage: Bacteria; Pseudomonadati; Pseudomonadota; Alphaproteobacteria; Rhodobacterales. RNAcentral also lists the same sequence under 1 other name. The record is from RNAcentral.
GCUGCUGUAGCUCAGUGGUAGAGCACUCCCUUGGUAAGGGAGAGGUCGAGAGUUCGAGUCUCUCCAGCAGCACCA